Molecule: ribosomal RNA, 740 nt
Filed under: uncultured Bacilli bacterium
Lineage: Bacteria; Bacillati; Bacillota; Bacilli
Description: bacterial SSU rRNA
Rfam family: Bacterial small subunit ribosomal RNA
Source: RNAcentral
GGCGUGCCUAAUACAUGCAAGUCGAGCGAGCGGAACUAACAGAUUUACUUCGGUAAUGACGUUAGGAAAGCGAGCGGCGGAUGGGUGAGUAACACGUGGGGAACCUGCCCCAUAGUCUGGGAUACCACUUGGAAACAGGUGCUAAUACCGGAUAAGAAAGCAGAUCGCAUGAUCAGCUUUUAAAAGGCGGCGUAAGCUGUCGCUAUGGGAUGGCCCCGCGGUGCAUUAGCUAGUUGGUAAGGUAAAGGCUUACCAAGGCGAUGAUGCAUAGCCGAGUUGAGAGACUGAUCGGCCACAUUGGGACUGAGACACGGCCCAAACUCCUACGGGAGGCAGCAGUAGGGAAUCUUCCACAAUGGACGCAAGUCUGAUGGAGCAACACCGCGUGAGUGAAGAAGGUUUUCGGAUCGUAAAGCUCUGUUGUUGGUGAAGAAGGAUAGAGGUAGUAACUGGCCUUUAUUUGACGGUAAUCAACCAGAAAGUCACGGCUAACUACGUGCCAGCAGCCGCGGUAAUACGUAGGUGGCAAGCGUUGUCCGGAUUUAUUGGGCGUAAAGCGAGCGCAGGCGGAAGAAUAAGUCUGAUGUGAAAGCCCUCGGCUUAACCGAGGAACUGCAUCGGAAACUGUUUUUCUUGAGUGCAGAAGAGGAGAGUGGAACUCCACGUGUAGCGGUGGAAUGCGUAGAUAUAUGGAAGACACCAGUGGCGAAGCGGCUCUCUGGUCUGCAACUGACGCUGAG